GAAAAAAUUCCAUCCAGCCCCGGGGAGGAGGGAGCGGGGCGGGGAGGCCGGGCCGGGGAGCGUGACGCAGGGAGGAGGGAAGGGACAAAAGGGGCCGGGAGGCGGUAGGGUGAGCCGGCAGCGCUCCCGCUCCUCCCUCCCUCCUCCCUCGGCCGGGGCCAGUUCUCUACUCUCCGCUUUCUUUCGUACCCUCCACCUCUCCUCCCUUUCCUUCACUCUGCCGGCCUCCUCCUGGCCCUGUGCUCCCCCCACCCCACCCCCCGCCCCCGUGUCUCCGUCUCCGCGUCUCUCUUUCUCCUUACAUCACGCCCACCCCCUCCACCCCAAUCAGGGUCUUCUCCUCUCCUCGCUCUGUCUCCCCCUUUCUGCUCUCCCAGCCUCCUUCCCCUCCCUCCGCUUCGGUCCCUCCACCCGCCCACCCACUGGGGGACAGAAAGGUGAAUCAGACCCAGAUCUGCCCUUGCAGACCGAGCUCACAGUCUGAUGGAGGAGACAGACCCAGACGCAGACAGUUCCAAUCCUGGGCGAUCGGGCCAGCACUCUCAGAGGAGGAUGAGAUGGUUGGAUGGCAUCACCGACUCAAUGGACAUAGUUUGAGUAAGCUACGGGAGUUGGUGGUGGACAGGGAAGCCUGGCGUGUUGCAGUCCAUGGGGUCGCAAAGAGUUGGACACAACUGAGCGACUGAACUGAGCAUUCUCAAAACAAUGUUUCCACCGAAAAACUGAACAAUACUUCUCUGUUUGGGAAUUCCAUCAUUGUCCAUACAGCAUGACACACAGAAGCUUACUCCCUGACCAGAGAUUGAACCCGAGCCCCCCAGCACGGAAGCUCAGAGUUCUAACCACUGGACCACCAGUAAAUUCCCUUGUCACUAAGUCCGGUCUGACUCUUUGCAACCCCAUGGAUGGUAGCCCACCAGGCCUCCUCUGUCCGUGGGAUUUCCAGGCAAGAAUGCCUUGCCCAGGCAAGAAUGCUGGAGUGGGCUGCAUCAUUGCUUAUAUCUAAAAAGGAAGACACAGUGAGAGACUGGCUGUCUGCAAGCCAGGAAACACCGCCUCACCAGGGAACUGAAUCAACCAGCCCCUUGCUCUUGGACUUUUCAGCCUCCAGGACUCAGGUUUUGGUCACUUUUAUUGUAUAUUAAUGGGCAUCAGAGAAGGACUUGCUAAAAAACACGAACAUAUGUCAGCAAGUUUCCCAGAAGUCCGUG
Molecule: long non-coding RNA, 1211 nt
Organism: Bos taurus (domestic cattle)
Lineage: Eukaryota; Metazoa; Chordata; Mammalia; Artiodactyla; Bovidae
Source: Ensembl